CUGCUCUCUUCAGCAACACGCAGACUGAAAUGGGAACAAUACAGAAAAGAUGAGCAGGGCUCCUGCACAAGAUGACGCAUGAAUUCAUGAAACAUUCCAUAUUUUU
This 106-nucleotide small nuclear RNA is filed under the name Notamacropus eugenii (tammar wallaby). Lineage: Eukaryota; Metazoa; Chordata; Mammalia; Diprotodontia; Macropodidae. The record is from RNAcentral.